CUUCCUACGUUCACAUGAAAAUAAAAGCGAUCAUAUGCUGUUGCUGGCUUCGUUAUUCAACCUGGGGUGUGUUUCUUCACAGCACUCCUGCACCUCCUCAAGCACAUCCAAAGAGAAAGCUGUGUUUCCAAAAGCUGGACCAGGAGCUCAGCUGGAAGCAGCAGCACUCUGGCAAGCCCAGCACAGACAGAACUUUUCUUCCCCCGAUGGGAAGGAGUGCUAAUUGCUCAGCCGUGCCACGCACACACGGCCACCAUGUUGCUAUGAGCUCAAAGAUGGGUAACGUCAGCAUCCCAGGGACCCUCCUCCAGCCGGGAUCAGCAAGCCAAGGCUGAGCUACACGGAGCAGCGGUGCCGGAGGAGCAGCAGAGCUGCACGCCAGGUAAGGGGCACCUCUGUCCCCGUGCUGUUCCUGCUCACAGUAUGGCUGCAUGACAAACUGCAAGCAGAGCAAGGCACUUCUCAUAGCACAGCCUGGGGACCAGUUGCCAACUCUUUGAUCUGCACAGGGGGUCGGAUUUUUUGUUCCCUUCCCUGCAGAGGAAUUUUUGGGAGCGUGGGUCAGGCGGUAGCAGUGGAUGUGGCAGCCAGAAAGCUGUAAGCAGAAGGGGAGAUUCUUUCCUUGACUUUAAAGUGGAUCUGCUUUCAUGGUGCUCCCCCCUUUUUUGGCUGGAUAAUCCUUAACUUGGGAUUCGUGGGUUUGUCUGUCUGUGCCAACUUUUGCGUGCUGCCACAAGUGGAUGCUCUUCAUAGUGAGUAAGAUCAUAACCUACCUCGGUUAAGAAAUAAAGUUACUUUAAAUGUGGGUUAAGCCCCUUUAAGUUAGUUUUGGAAAUAUUCCUUUGACUUUAUUUUUCCCCCUUCUUUCUUCUGCAAGGGCACCCUAGGAGAGGAGAAUAGCUGUGUCAUAAAUGUUAUUGUACGUGCAAUCUCAGCUGCUGAAAUGAGCUUGAAGUCCCCGGUCUAAAGAAAGGCACUAAUUAAACACAGCAAUGCUCCUGCUCUGAUAUGGAAAAGCAAGCACUGUGCAAGUGAGACAGCCGUCCCUCACAUCCCCCAAGGGAGCAGGAAAGCUGCCCAGACACAAAGCUUCCUCUGCCCUCCGUGUUGCUGCCAGCCCCAAGGACUCUCACUGCACACAGCUGAACUGGAGCCACCGGACCUCUCCAGUAGAGAAAAGCAGCGGCUCACCGGGAUGCUCUGAGAGCUGUUCCACUUGCACAGGGGGAUAUAAUUCUCAUUUGCUUUGUUCAUGAAGCCUUGGACGUCAGAGG
This 1274-nucleotide long non-coding RNA is filed under the name Pavo cristatus (Indian peafowl). RNAcentral describes it as "lncRNA (ENSPSTG00000019286.1)". The record is from RNAcentral. Lineage: Eukaryota; Metazoa; Chordata; Aves; Galliformes; Phasianidae.